This is a long non-coding RNA of Homo sapiens (human), 1029 nucleotides long. Ensembl annotates it as PPP1R3B divergent transcript. Its record names the gene PPP1R3B-DT. The record is from Ensembl. Lineage: Eukaryota; Metazoa; Chordata; Mammalia; Primates; Hominidae.
UUGGUUACAAAAACCUCUUCCUUCUUUAAUCCGGUGUCUGAGGAGUUUUGUUUGCGACUCGUCCUGCUACAUUUCUUGGUUCCGUGACCGGGAAGCGAGGUGAUUGAAGGACGGUCGAGGCAGCCCCUUAGGCUGCUUAGGCCUGCCCUGUGGAGCGUCCCUGCAAGGGACUCUGGCCAGCUUGAGCGACGGGCAUCCUGAGAGCGCUCCCGGGUAGGCAAUUGCCCUGGUGGAACACCUCGUCAGAGCAGUGUGUGGCAGGCCCCCGCGGAGGAUCAACGUGGUGGCUGAACACCGGGAAGGAACUGGCACUAGAAGUCUGGACGUCUGAAACUUGAUCCCCUGCCUGCAGCACGUGCUGAUCUCCAAGGGUGAGGCUGGAUGAAGCCAGGGGCUAUGGAAAGGGAGACUGUUUCAGAGGACUUGACACCAUCUUCAGUAAUUUCUCUGGUUCUUGGCAGCUCCAUUUGGCUGCGUCCCUACCCUGCAUAACCCUCCCAGCUAGUCUACUCCAGGGCAGCAUCCAGCUGGUGACCUGAGAGGGCAGUGGCGCACCAGUCUCCAUGAAGGUUGAGCUCCGAUGGCCAACAGCCAUUUCCACCUUGUGGUCUACAACUCUUCAUCCCGACUGCAUGGAGGUUGGUCUCUCUCUUCAGCUGGAUUUAGGCCACCAUCUGAGCCCCCGGGGUACGUUUUGUCUGACCCUGGCGCCAUUCGAACGGUUCUUCUACAGCAUCAGUUCUCUUUCCUGCCACCAUGUGAAGAAGGACAUGUUUGCUUCCCCUUCUGCCAUGAAUGAAAAACAUGGCCAGCAAAGCAGGUGAGGCAAAGAUCAGGAAGGACAUUAAACGCCAAACUAAGGAGCGGAACUGAAUGAGCAGUGAAGGGGAACAAUGGCUUCAGCAGGUCCACUGGGCUCCUCUUUUCUGUCAGCCUCCCCCUACCCCUCACCUCUGUACUACUCAUGUUACUAUCUACGUCUCUUCACCAAUGUCAUUGUGGAAAUAAAAGCUUAUCUGUAAGAGUACU